This 469-nucleotide long non-coding RNA is filed under the name Oncorhynchus kisutch (coho salmon). Its description in RNAcentral is "lncRNA (ENSOKIG00005001254.1)". Lineage: Eukaryota; Metazoa; Chordata; Actinopteri; Salmoniformes; Salmonidae. The record is from RNAcentral.
CUCUCAAUCUGUGGGGAGAUUCUGUGGCGGGUGUGAGGUCACAUGACUAGGGGCUGGUAAUCCCCCACAAUGCACUGCUGCCCAGCUCAGUGACAUGUCACCACCCUGUGGAAUACUACUGACAAACUCACUCACUCACUCACUCAAACACUCUCACAACUCAUGUACUCUCUCACACAGACGCAUAACAGUGCCAUAGAGGAGGAUGCUCAUCAGCCACACAGACAUGACAGAACAACAUAGGAUUCUCCUCUGCCUCCCCAUUCUCUACAUUUGGACUGGGCCAGUACAUGGUGAUGUGUUGGCCUCCCUGGCAGGUGAGAGGGUGGGCUGGACGCUGCUGGUGUGUGUCACCUCUGACCUGAGUAGGGGUCACCUGGAGGUUAACUGGAUGUCACCUGGGGAGGGAAGUGAGUCCUGCCAGUGCUCUCUACAGUGUUGCCGGGGAGGAACAGAACAGUGGCCAUAG